AACGCCGCCGCCACGCGCAGCCGACGCUGAUGCCAUUGGAGCCAGAUUCCCGUCCACCUCCUGCUCCUGCGCACCUAGCACAGAAAAUGGGGACUGCUCCGGCGAAUCCACCGGCGCGGUGAGGAGCUGGUAGAGAGGGAGAUGAGCGGGCGCAGCGCCUCCCACUAUGCUGCUGAGCAUGGCCUCCACGGCUGCUGCCUUGCGCUCUGCCUGGCAGCCAAGCAGAGCCUCUCCUCCCCCUGGCCGCCUCCUCCCCAUAACCGUCCUCUGCCCUCUUCUUUCUUCCUCUGGCCCUGUUAUUCCACUGAUUAAUUUUUUUUUCUCGAUCUUCUUUUGUUUACGUCAUUGGGGUUUGAUUGCUCCAGAUGGACCUGAUCGCUCCCCUGCGUGACAUGGGAGAUCACGUAGUGCACAAAGUAACGGAACUUCUUAUUUUCCACAUUACUAAAUUCGCUCUUUCCAUCUGGAAAGUUAGAGCAAAUUGAGCUAGAGUUAGCCAAACCCCCGACGGUGGUGGUGUUGAGGAGUGCUAUGUGCUGGCAAGUGGAUCCGAUGGGAGUAAAGGGACAGAGAUAAUGCAGAGGAUAUGAGUAUGGUCGAGAGGUUUCUUGAAGAGGUGGGAUGGAAGAGGGACAGAAAGGGGGGAAAUAACAGGGAUUAUUAGAUGACGGGAUUAAAAAAUGAGGCUUCAAAGAAGCUUCAGGCUUAGCCCAUUCUUGAGGUUGCAAUUGUACAAGAGGCAGAUCGUCUGGAGUUUGUGGAAGGCCUCACUGGGAUGAGAGCUGCUUGCGAACUUACCGCCCAUGUACUGAACUUUGCGCGAACAUUGGUCAAGUGUUAUCUCAGCCAUCAGUUACUACGAAUGAAAUCGACAGUGUGGUGCAUCAUAUGAUAGUUGAGGCGGGUGCUUCUGCUUCUCCUCUUGACUAUGGUGGAUUUCCUAAAAGUAUCAGCACAUCAGUAAAUGAGUGUGUCUGCGACGGGCUACCCGAUUCAACACAACUGCAGAACGGAGAUAUCACAAAUAUUGACGUAAAUGUGUUCCUGAAUGAUUCAUACCAUACUCUAUAGAGAUACCAUGGUUGAGCUCACUUGGUGGAACUUCCACACAUCUGUAUGUGGAGAAGCGGAUGAAUCUAUCAGACAUUUCCUGGAGGUAAGUUGAUGCUGAUGUGUGAUAUAAUUCAUCCAGUAUACAUAGCUGCUUAGUAAUGAUUUGUGCUUAAUCUCAGUGUUGCAAUAUUUAUGAACGCAAUGUUUUCUCUAAUCUAGAAAUCUCUUAAAUUUAAGGAAAAAUCUUUUGAAAGGGCUUUUUUCCAAGAAAUUUCUAAUUUCCUUUUGAUACUUUGUCCUGGAACUCUCAUAGAUUUUACUAUGAUAAAAAUGCUUUUUUCAGAAGAUAAAGUGUUGAUUUUAAGAAAGGAAAUGUGUGAGUGCUAUGCUUUGGUAAUUAGGCAUUAUAUGACUUGUGAUCGUACACACUCUUGAUAUCUGUAUCUUAAGUGGAAACAUAUGCAUUUUAAAAUUUCAGACCAAGUUGACAUAUCUUGAUGGAACCUUUGCAUAACCUAUAUAUUGGACGAAGAAUAGUGUGAGGGGUGAAUGAACAAGUGUCAGUCGAAUUGAAUGUGGUGCCGAUACAAUCCGUUGCUUUGUGCAGCAUUCACUUUUUAGUUUCCUAGGCUCUAACCUGAGAUGGAACCCCAUGGUGUACAAACCUGUAGAGCUGCAAGCAUAUCUAUCUAAAAAUGGAGAACUAGCCAAGAAUGACCAAGUGCAGCUCUGUUCAGCUAGAGUUAGCUCGGUUUGUGCAUCAAGGGCAUAUGGUUGGUUAAUUUUUUGAACCCUUCUCAUGUAGCAGGUAGUGUUAAACACGUUGACUGAUCUAUUCUGUGUGCGUUCUAUUUUGGUCAGAUUAAUAUCUGGCUGAAAUAGGAACACUCCAUUUACAGAGGUCAAAACAUAAUAGAUAAUGUGUUCUCUAGAUUGAUUAUGGUGUUUACCAAUCAGGAUGUCAAAACUGCACCUUGGGACACGACUAGGCUUUGUCUUAAGAGUGACACCAAUAUACUCUUGUGUUGUGUGAGGCCUUUUUGGCAUCAUCGAUUAAGAACACGGUAUCUUCUACAGAUGUCCAUCAUAUAUGUUUGUGUGAAUAAAUACAAUAUAUUUGCAUGUUUCUUAGUUCUCAAUUAAUACCCAAACUAUCUCAAUACAAUGUUCUCUAUUAAUUCUUAUGUUACUACCUUGGCCCUCUUAUUACUCUCUUUAGUCACCGAUUUACAUAAAUAUUGCGUGCUUCACGAAUGGACAAGUGAAAGCUUCACUGGUGUUAGUUUGAGAAGAAACAGCAAACGAGAAGGUUAUAUUCCCAUAUUUUCCUGUGACCUUUAAUAUUUAGGUGCCAUGUGUGAGAUUUUUAGUGUCUUUGACCUGAGUUUUGAGAAUUUACCAGAUAGAUGUGUGAUCUGCUCUAAUUAAUUGGGAGGUUUUGUUGGUGCAGAAAGCUAUGAUAUGUCUGUUGUUACCCACCCAAGCAGAACUCCAUAAUUUUGUUUGUACAUGUAGUAAUUGUAUACUUCAUAGCUUGAGUCUGUAUACAUUUCUGUAUGCCGUUUUCUCAUAUUUUGUGUUUUGAGUUCUGUAGCUAUUUUCAUCCAUUCAUAAUUUGUUUACAGGGAGAUGGAAUUCAUGUUUUUGUACCAGAAGCUCAAGUUAAUAAAUUUGAGCAUGUUUAGUGGACGGUCAGGUGUACUAUCUUCAGUAUUUUGAAAGUAUGUCUGUUAGAGAAUAGUUCUGGCCAGCCAGUCAUAGGUUUGAGCUGCAUUUCGCAUCAUCCAGCCUAUAGAUGAUAGAUACAAGAUAAGUUUUGACCAGAAAUGCUAUGGUACCAUACACUUUCCCUUUAUACUAUUGCAACCUAAGGUCAUUCAAAAGCAUAAUGGUCACCAUUAUGGAUAUUAUACCACUCUUUUGAUUUGUCAUGUUAAUAUAUGUGUUAAUCUUGCUAAUUCAAAUAUAGUCUUCUCGAAAUAGGUGUUUUCUUUUUGUUACAAGAUUGGAGUUCAUUCUCUGUUCCAAUGUUUCUUUGAUGCUGAUGGAAAAACACUAUUUUUGGUAGAAUCAUCCAAGUGUAGUAUACUGUUAAAUGGAUUGCUGAAAGAGGGCAACGAUUUCAGUUUACAAAAAGGGAGCCUGCCACUUUGGCUUAUCUGUAUAAGUUCAUACCGCACAAAGUGGUGUUAAUAAGUGGAUUGUAGGAUGUGUUUUUUGCAGAUUGUUAUUUAAUAACACACUAUAUAUGCGAACAAGAUUGUUUGCUCCAAGAUUGAUGGCGUUCUUUUUCUAGAAUAAAGUGGUACAACUUGUAUAUUUUUUCUUCUUUUGACUAAGAAGAGGUUGGGUAGACAAUGAUAUGGAGUUAUGGACCAACAUACACAUGUUUCUUUUGUAUACCUGCUACUUGUUGAGGUGUGGCCAUGGAGUAAAAAAAGGUUGGCAUUGAUUUAGACGGAAUUAUUCUAAAGAUUGUGCAGGUGACGCCCCGCCGAGCGCUGACCUGGUCGCCAAGACUCUCUCCUUCCGCUCCGCCUUCCAGCCCAACUCCCGCCGCCAACGCACUUCCACGACCUCCUCGACGCCCUCGGUCCAUAACCGGCAACGCCAUCUUUGCGGAGGUGCGAACUUCCUGGACUUCCUCAGGAGUUCAACGCUUGCUCCGCACGCCUGGGCCUUGCUGCCGCCGGCGCAACUUCUCUGCGUGUACGCUGCGGCCGGCGACAUGUGGCCUACGUUUCGAGCGCGAUGAGGACGGCAGUGACGGGAAGUUUGUGGGCAAGCUCGCGCUGGGGGAGCUCGCCGAGAUGCUCUCUAUGUGUUGGGCCGACGUGGAGCGGUGUGGGGCCCCGAGGGUUUCGGAAGGGGUGAAGGGUGGGAGGUGGGGCGUGCUGCUCCCGGACGUAUCGCAGCUGGUACUAUACUGAUGCUGUCCCCACUCAUGUCUGACGGGACCGCCGUGACGCCGCUGCCGUCUGGGCUGCGAGGUUUCCGGUGCUGCUGGGAUGGGGAUGGUGCAGUAAUCUAAUCUUUCUUUGUUCUUCACGAAUUAGCGUGCAACGUAUCCAGGUGAGAUUUGUUGCCGCUGAUAAUUAAUUUUGCAUCAGGGAAGCCAACGCUAAGAUUCUGGUAGCUAGCAGCUUAUAUCUUGCAUCAGGCUGAACUUUGCAUCUCCCGUAAGAUGGCCUACCAAUAAACUCCUGCUAUAUUUCCUCUACCAUCUAAUUAGGCAAAAGUUUCUUUGUUAUACAUCAGAUUACAUGACUUAUAGAUUAGAAAUAUGAUUGACUGACUAGGCGACGUUUAGUAUAAAUGGAGUCCUGUUAUUGUUCUAUUAUUUAUGCACACCUACGUUACAUAGAUUGCUUGAAGUAAUUGUAUGGAGUGUGUCCAUGUGGUGUUCUUCAAGGACACAAUUAGCUAAGCUAUUUAGUAAGUUGAGUUGGCAUUGUUUCUGUAACUAAGCUGAAUUAGCAUUGUUUCAUGAGGCAAUGUGCAGACAAUGGAGGUAUUAAUGAAAUUAGUCUGAGUCCAAUGGAGGCUUUAUCAGUCUCGGCACCAUUCAGCCUCCCCUUUGUUUCUAAAGGGAGGCUUCUUAGUGUAAUUUUUCUUCCAUUGAGAUGUUUUUUCCACAUCCAAAUAUUAUAUAUUAUAUAAAAUAAUUAUAGUAUUCUGCGCCUAAAUAUUUAUGGCUAGCAAUAUAUCUCCUGCCUUUCUAUUAAAAAUAUAUCCCCGUUAGUCUGAUUUCGGAACUGUUUUUCUUUGCACCUGUUCUGAACCCUCUGCAUUCUUUUUAUACCCAUUGACACUUGCUCAAGAAUUUUAAAAUGUCCAUUUCUAUUGGCUUGAGAAAUUGAGUUUAUCGUAUCUUCCCGUAGUUUGAGUAUAGUUUAAGAAUCUCAUCAUUUGCUGUAGAAGCUAUACAUCAUCAUAUCGUGGACAUAUCCUUCUCUGGCGGUCAUGCUCUAGAUUGGUCUCUGCGGUUUUAUGCGUGUUCAUGGUAUAUACUUAUAUCCACUAUUUGGAGAUAAGCAAUCCAAUGGUUUAUUGGGUUCGAUUACAACAAGCAGGUGGUGAGGUCUAGCAGCCGCAGCACGACGAGGCCAACGACAACAUCACCUGGUAUUUGUUCCAGCCGGGCCAUUCCACUUCUCACGGCAACGGAUGCCAGGUCCUUCAAUACCCUAGAGACCUGGAGCCACGACCAUAAGCCAAGAGCCUUGAGGAGGGACUGAUCUAGCUGCUGAAGAGGAGGUGACCCCGCUAGGAGGAGGCGGUGAUCAAGGGUGCAUGGAGUAGUGCCACCUACUGGCGAGCAAUCACCGAGGCCGUGAUGACAAUGAUGUGUCCCAUUUGCCACCGCGGCCGUUCCACACCACCGAUGUAGCGAUUGAGUUGAAGCAUGAACAUGCGGCGAACUUUCUCUAUGUCAGAUUGUCAGCACGGAGCUAGAUCACUCGGUCUCAUUUGGUGCCGAUCAGCAACGAAGGCCGCGAUGAGGACGCGCCGCCAUUACCCACCACCGAGGUAGCGUUUGAGAUAAAGCUGGAGCACGAACAACUGAAGGUCAUGCACAACGCUCUCACAAGCUGGUGCUACGUUCCUAUUUAUCGUUGUUGUCUUCUACAUAUUGUUGCUAUCCACUUUGCAACAUUAGGCAACACUUUCUAUUAAUUACAAUGAUGGUUCCCCCUUUA
Molecule: long non-coding RNA, 5753 nt
Organism: Lolium rigidum
Lineage: Eukaryota; Viridiplantae; Streptophyta; Magnoliopsida; Poales; Poaceae
Exons: 9
Source: RefSeq, a predicted model, not a curated record